This 346-nucleotide transfer-messenger RNA is filed under the name Sphingomonas cavernae. RNAcentral's name for it is "Sphingomonas sp. K2R01-6 transfer-messenger RNA". It matches the Rfam family "Alphaproteobacteria transfer-messenger RNA". Rfam says of the family: Bacterial tmRNA, also known as 10Sa RNA or SsrA, is named for its dual tRNA and mRNA-like properties. Its role is to liberate the mRNA from a stalled ribosome. To accomplish this part of the tmRNA is used as a reading frame that ends in a translation stop signal. The record is from RNAcentral. Lineage: Bacteria; Pseudomonadati; Pseudomonadota; Alphaproteobacteria; Sphingomonadales; Sphingomonadaceae.
CCACUUUUCAUUCACGACGGAGCCCCUAUAUUGGCCGGUGCCGGAUUCGUCCGGCUAUGGCGAUAAAUUGUGUCGUGCAAUAGAUGCAGCGGACCCGGGGGCGGUACCCGGCGGCUCCACCAUAAACCCUUGGCGACAGGGGCUUUUGACGGGGCCGAACUAGGAUCGACGUGUAUUGAAAGACGAUGUUUUUGCCCGGCCUGAAUGAGCCGUUAAACCGUUCAAAACCACAAGUGCCAACGAUAACGAAGCACUCGCUCUCGCAGCGUAAUUGAGGGGCUAACGCCCUGAGAUUAUUCUAAAAGAACGCGGUUCGGGCCGAACCGGGCAACAGAAUCGGACUCCA